GGGCUCUUCUCGGGGAGUGGAGUGCUAUGACAGAUGAGACUUUCAUGCAAGAAAAUAAAUCCUGCACAUUUGAUGUACUGCUUUAAACUUAAAGACCUCUUUGGACCCGAAAUUGUAAGACUUGUGGUUUUGUCACAAGGAGAUAAUAUUUUCAGCAAAAAAUAUAAACUUUCCCUCAAGACACAAAUUAGAAAAUAUGGUGGUGCGGUCCCUGGUGAGGAAGCCAUCCUUCCAGGCCCAGAAUUUCCUGCCCUGUCCAUUUCCAACUUAUCAUAAAUACUUUCCUGACCCCUAAAAUGCAGGACACUGAUCAACUCAGUUAAGAAGUUUUUAUUUCAAGCCUGCUGGGCUUUACAAAGGACUGCAUUUGACUCUGGGCAUGGAUUCAAAGUCCUUUUGAAUAAAUGACCUGCUUAUCUAGCUGUCAAAAUGUGGACCUCACUGGCACUCUUAACUAUAGCCCUGAUUCAAGUUUAUGUGCCAGAAACGGAACUUCUGUCUUUCAAAUUCAACAAGGUCUUCAGACCAUGGCCGCCUUGCACAAUAUGGACCAGCAGUUGCUAUUAGAGCAACUAAGGGUAUUUACGGUUUAUUCAAAUAAUGUAGUGCAAAGAAUAGGAGGUUUGAAAGCCUGGCGAGGAGUGGAAGAAUUGACUUCCAUAAAUCUAGGGCCCUAAAAAUACCUUUUUUGUUCAAGCGUUGGAAAGAAUUUUGUCGACCUUUCUGCUUCAUUGGCAUUUCUUUACGUUUUCCUGGUAACCAGAGACAAGUUGCACAAUCGGUGUGGCAUUUGGCUCCUGAUUCUGGGGGAGAGGGAGCGCUGUCUGCUUUUUCAGCAGGCCCAGCACAGUGGAGCGCGGAGCAUUCAGCACUGGGGGAGCCUGCCAGCAGCUGGCCCUGCCAAACUAAACAGGAAUCAGCGCGGACAAAGGGAAGAUUAUGUGGUGGAAAAAGGAUACCCCGAAUUAAGGCAGGAAAGCCACGUCAAUUAUAUUUGGAAGCGGUGUCUCUCCCCCGGGUUACAAAGCCGUGUCUCUAAGAUUUCUGAGGAUGUUGCUGUUUCACCGAAAGCUCACCCACAAAAGGUCAGUGGGUGGAGUUCAAACAAAAUGCUUUUUCUCUUAUGACUUCCUGUGGAUCUUGAUAUCUCGCCACAAGUCUUUCUGCCACCACUGUGCCCUUCCAUGCACACUAGUCACAGCAGGAGGAGGACAGGAACGCGCGCCAGGAGCGGAUUAGGGGACGUGAGCAGGCGACCCUGGCAGAGGUUCUCCGCGCAGUGGCCCGCGGUGGGCUGGGCGUGCUGAGCACUGCGUCCCUGCUUCAGUCCUGAUCUCAGCGGAAGAAAAAUAAAAACACAACAAAACUCAAACCAACAAAACACCUGGGAUUUCCCGGCCACCAGCCCCAGUGAGUGCCCCCACAGGAUAAGCUCUUACUAACUCCUCCUGGUGGCCCCAGGCUGACCUCUGCAAGGUUACUGUUGGGAGUUGAAGGCAAAGCGGCCUGGCCCACUGCUGGUGAUACCCAGGCUAGGCUAAGUCUCCUGAGGACACGUGGAGGCUCAGCGCAGGCGCAGGAGCAGCGCGGGGCUGGGAGAACUGGCAAAGCCACCUGCGGUGCUGUGCCCAGGGAGUCCAUGAUUCUUCUCUCCUCCUGUCUCCUUUUUCAAAAUGCAAAAUAAAAUGAGAAAUUUUGUUUUUAACAAUAAAAGUAACAAAUAUAUCAUCACCAAGAUGUUUAGAUGUUAGUAUUACUGGAAACAACUUGCUUUUUUUUCUCCUUAAAUAAGUAAGACUUUGAAGAUACAGUAAGGCCCCACCUUCAUCCCUCCCCUCCCCAGAGUGAACCUCCUUAAAUUUGUCUAUAUUGUUCCCACGUGAUUUUUCUUAUUUUUUCCAUGCAUAGUUUUAUUUAAAUAUGAUCUUGCAUGGUUUUUAAAUUUAUGUAAAUGAUAUCCUUUAAAUAUCUUUUUACAAUUUACAUUUUGCACUUAACCGGCCACUUUAGGAAUUUAUCAUUGUGAAUAUCAAUGUAAAUCUAGCUUUAAGAUUGUUUAAUAAACUUUUCAAUAAAAACAAUUAUUUUUUAAAUCGA
Molecule: long non-coding RNA, 2097 nt
Organism: Homo sapiens (human)
Lineage: Eukaryota; Metazoa; Chordata; Mammalia; Primates; Hominidae
Source: Ensembl